GGGGGUGUAGCUUAGUUGGUUAAAGCAAUCGGCUCAUAACCGAUGGAUCCGGGGUUCGAGUCCCUGCGCCCCUACCA
Molecule: transfer RNA, 77 nt
Filed under: Bdellovibrio sp.
Lineage: Bacteria; Pseudomonadati; Bdellovibrionota; Bdellovibrionia; Bdellovibrionales; Pseudobdellovibrionaceae
Also listed under: 3 other names
Description: tRNA-Met
Rfam family: tRNA
About the family: Transfer RNA (tRNA) molecules are approximately 80 nucleotides in length.
Source: RNAcentral